CCUACGGGAGGCAGCAGUGAGGAAUAUUGGUCAAUGGACGAGAGUCUGAACCAGCCAAGUAGCGUGAAGGAUGACUGCCCUAUGGGUUGUAAACUUCUUUUAUAUGGGAAUAAAAUGUUCCACGUGUGGGAUUUUGUAUGUACCAUAUGAAUAAGGAUCGGCUAACUACGUGCCAGCAGCCGCGGUAAUACGGAGGAUCCGAGCGUUAUCCGGAUUUAUUGGGUUUAAAGGGAGCGUAGGUGGAUUGUUAAGUCAGUUGUGAAAGUUUGCGGCUCAACCGUAAAAUUGCAGUUGAAACUGGCAGUCUUGAGUACAGUAGAGGUAAGCGGAAUUCGUGGUGUAGCGGUGAAAUGCUUAGAUAUCACGAAGAACUCCGAUUGCGAAGGCAGUUCACUGGACUGCAACUGACACUGAGGCUCGAAAGUGUGGGUAUCAAACAGGAUUAGAUACCCGUGUAGUC
This 460-nucleotide ribosomal RNA is filed under the name uncultured bacterium. Its description in RNAcentral is "partial 16S ribosomal RNA". It matches the Rfam family "Bacterial small subunit ribosomal RNA", at positions 338 to 795 of the family's 1533-position model. The record is from RNAcentral.